GAUCGCGUGCCCGAGUGGUCAGGGCUUCGCCUGCAAAGCGAAUGAACGUCGGUUCGAAUCCGACCGCGAUCU
RNAcentral lists this transfer RNA (72 nucleotides) under Micromonospora avicenniae. It matches the Rfam family "tRNA". From Rfam's summary of the family: Transfer RNA (tRNA) molecules are approximately 80 nucleotides in length. Their secondary structure includes four short double-helical elements and three loops (D, anti-codon, and T loops). Further hydrogen bonds mediate the characteristic L-shaped molecular structure. tRNAs have two regions of fundamental functional importance: the anti-codon, which is responsible for specific mRNA codon recognition, and the 3' end, to which the tRNAs corresponding amino acid is attached (by aminoacyl-tRNA synthetases). tRNAs cope with the degeneracy of the genetic code in two manners: having more than one tRNA (with a specific anti-codon) for a particular amino acid; and 'wobble' base-pairing, i.e. permitting non-standard base-pairing at the 3rd anti-codon position. Lineage: Bacteria; Bacillati; Actinomycetota; Actinomycetes; Micromonosporales; Micromonosporaceae. The record is from Rfam by way of RNAcentral.